AUGUUUUCUGUAGCUCUGCUGCUGCUGCUGGCAGCUGGAUGUGUGAAGUGUGAACAGUUGACACAGCCAGCCUCUGUGACUGUGCAGCCAGGUCAGAGUCUGACCAUCACCUGUCAGGUCUCUUAUUCUGUUAGCAGCUACUACACAGCCUGGAUCAGACAGCCUGCAGGGAAAGGACUGGAGUGGAUUGGAAUGAGAUACACUGGAGCUGCAUACUACAAAGAUUCACUGAAGAACCAGUUCAGUAUCGACUUAGACUCUUCCAGAAAAACAGCGACUCUAAACGGACUGAAUAUGCAGCCUGCAGACUCUGCAGUGUAUUACUGUGCCAGGAGAGACACACUGCAGAGAGAAUGA
Labrus bergylta (ballan wrasse) is the source of this 357-nucleotide non-coding RNA. NCBI's taxonomy places the organism in Eukaryota, Metazoa, Chordata, Actinopteri, Labriformes, Labridae. The record is from the annotation of a RefSeq genome assembly.